RNAcentral lists this long non-coding RNA (313 nucleotides) under Bos indicus x Bos taurus (hybrid cattle). RNAcentral's name for it is "lncRNA (ENSBIXG00000010913.1)". The record is from RNAcentral. Lineage: Eukaryota; Metazoa; Chordata; Mammalia; Artiodactyla; Bovidae.
GCCAGGAGCUGUGGAUAAGUUAUCCUUCUUAGAAUGAAAUAUUCAUUUUGAUUAACAGGGGGUGACGUGAUUGAAAAGACUGGAAACAGAAAGAUUGGACUUUGUAAGACUUUGAUGUAAGGAGUCAGAAUCAUAAUUUCACAUAUGAAGCAUCUUUUACAUCUGGGGAGUCAGAAUCCCAAAGGCAAAAAAUUGUGUGUGCAAAGAGCUUACCAAAUCUUAAGCCUCAUUCUCAGCAUUAAGCUGUAUGUUUAGGCUAGAAGAAAGUGAAGAUUCUUGAAAGCAAGAAUGAUGUGGGACUGCAAAGGCAAAG